This 207-nucleotide ribosomal RNA is filed under the name uncultured bacterium. RNAcentral describes it as "partial 16S ribosomal RNA". It matches the Rfam family "Bacterial small subunit ribosomal RNA", at positions 568 to 774 of the family's 1533-position model. The record is from RNAcentral.
CGCGUAGGCGGUUCGACAAGUCCCGCGUGAAAGCCCCCGGCUCAACUGGGGAACGGCGCGGGAAACUGUCGGGCUUGAGUUCGGGAGAGGGAAGCGGAAUUCCGGGUGUAGCGGUGAAAUGCGUAGAUAUCCGGAGGAACACCGGUGGCGAAGGCGGCUUCCUGGACCGACACUGACGCUGAGGCGCGAAAGCUAGGGGAGCAAACG